Molecule: long non-coding RNA, 697 nt
Filed under: Lupinus angustifolius (narrow-leaved blue lupine)
Lineage: Eukaryota; Viridiplantae; Streptophyta; Magnoliopsida; Fabales; Fabaceae
Description: long non-coding RNA (LANG_LNC000176)
Source: RNAcentral
UUGAACCUCCUCCUUUCUCUAUUUUUCAAAUUUUGAGACUCACCAUUUUUUCUUCUACAUUUUUUGACAGGUACGAUUUUUUUCUCAACACACCAUUGGGUUCUUUAUUCACGGGUUCUUAGCUCAAAGGUAUAAUCUUUCCUUUUAAGCUUAUUCAUAUUUGCAAGUUUGUUUGUCUUCAUUUUGUGCAUUUUACUCUGCAUCUUCUAAUCACACGUUUUUUUCAUCUUCAUCACACUUUCAAUGUUUCUUAUAUCUUCAUCACACGUUUUUUCUCUCUUCCUUUCCAUUUUACACAAAAAAAAAUGAUUAACCGGGUGGAUAGUCUUUAUCCGAAGUUUGAAUCUUUGUAUAAGAAAGUUGGAAAUUUUGAUGUCAUAAAAGAAAGUUUUAAUUUUUAUAGAAAAAUGUUUGUAUCUUUAUAGAAGAAAGUUGGAAUUUUGAAUAAUAUUGAAGAAAGUUAGAAUCUUUACAGAAGAAGAUUGUAAAAGAAAGUCGAAAUUUUUUAUAUUAUAGAUGAAACUUGGAAUUUUUUAUUUUAUAGAAGAAAGUUGAAAUCUUCAAAUAAGAAAGUCUAAAUCUUUACUGAAUCUUUGGGAGCUUAUAUGUUGUUGGUGACCCUCACUUUCGUUUCCAUCUUGAUAAAUCUUUACUUCAUUAUUAAUCUAAAUAAUGAACCUGAUCAUCUACUUGGAAU